CCCCUCUCAGGGUCGCACCUGGAGAGUUUCCAUACUCCGCUAGUCUCGACUACGGGAGGGAGAGUCAGGCAGAAUUAUUCCCAUUCCAUUCCUAGCUUGGGCAGUGGCUAGCGAGUGGAAGCCAAUCUGCUACAAGU
Small nucleolar RNA from Ornithorhynchus anatinus (platypus), 137 nucleotides. The record is from RefSeq and is a predicted model, not a curated record. NCBI's taxonomy places the organism in Eukaryota, Metazoa, Chordata, Mammalia, Monotremata, Ornithorhynchidae.